RNAcentral lists this ribosomal RNA (320 nucleotides) under uncultured bacterium. RNAcentral's name for it is "bacterial SSU rRNA". It matches the Rfam family "Bacterial small subunit ribosomal RNA", at positions 195 to 509 of the family's 1533-position model. The record is from RNAcentral.
AGUAAGUUAAAGUAAUUACGUUACGUUAGUGGCGUGGGGUGCGUUCCAUUUAGAUAGUUGGCGGGGUAACGGCCCACCAAGUCUACGAUGGAUAGGGGUUCUGAGAGGAAGGUCCCCCACAUUGGAACUGAGACACGGUCCAAACUCCUACGGGAGGCAGCAGUGAGGAAUAUUGGUCAAUGGACGAGAGUCUGAACCAGCCAAGUAGCGUGAAGGAUGACUGCCCUAUGGGUUGUAAACUUCUUUUAUAAGGGAAUAACAGACGUUACGUGUAGCGUUUUGCAUGUACCUUAUGAAUAAGCAUCGGCUAACUCCGUGCC